UUUAACUUCACGGAAAGGACCCGGGGCUCUGUGGCUUCCCAUCCGUCUUGUGACCCGGAAUCAUGGUGAUCUAAAAGAGCCCUGUGACUCUGGGAAAUUUGUUAUCAAAGGAUGUUAGCCACAAGUCCUGUUGGCAAAUGGACCCCAGGUGGCCUGCAGUGCCAAGCUGUUUCCCUGCCAGCCUCCCAGUCUGGCCCUGACUCUCCAAUGAGGCCUGCAAAUGUGUUUCCGGGAGGAAAAUCCGUCCCUGCUAUUUCUCCAGCCUUCCCUUGUUACCGGUCCGGCCCUGCCCCUUUAACAUUCAGGAAUGAGAGUGGAAGCAGAAGGCCCAGGUCCCCGGAGGUCCCGACGCCCGGAUUCCACAGCCUGUGAGGGUCCCUUGAGCAGAGCGGGACGAGGCCACUGGCACUACGUCGUGACUUCACCAACAGCCUGCAGUACUCGUUAACGAGAUUUCGCCAGGCCCCUUGGACUAACGCCAGGAUUCUCGGUGCCCGCAGUCAGCGCUCUGGGAUUAGACAACGCCCCACAGGCCGCGGCUCUCUGCUGACCCUCAGCAGCGAUGAGACCGGCGCGCACAAGCCAGCAGCCACUAGCUCUCCCACAAGGCCGAGCGCGGCCAAAGGGCAGCCCCGCCCGCUCCGCCUCCCCCAGCUCUAUUGGCUAGUGCACCUGCCACUCAGCCGCGCGCCGGACUCCGGCUUCGGGCCUGGAGGAGGGAUCCCAAGCCUCCUCGGCUCGGCUCGGCUCGGCUCGGCUCGGCUCGGCUCGGCUCGGCUCGGCUCGGCUCGGCUCGGCUCGGCUCGGCUCGGCUCGGCUCGGCUCGGCUCGGCUCGGCUCGGCUCGGCUCGGCUCGGCUCGGCUCGGCUCGGCUCGGCUCGGCUCGGCUCGGCUCGGCUCGGCUCGGCUCGCUUGUCCUUGAGGUUUACUGUGUUUGGCAUCGCAGUUCCGACGGCAGCCGCCGUUUCGCGACCCACGGCGGACUUGCAUAAACACUUUCUAGUUGGAAUCUCACCCUGUGAGGUGGGCAAGGUAGUGAUAUUCCUGUUUGACGCCGACAGAAAUAAGAGAGAUUGACUCUCAGAACCAUGUGGCGGGAUUUUAAAGGAGGAUCUUAACAGUGGCUCGGACAGACCCGUGUUUUCUGCUCCUAGCAUUAACUACGUCGUUAAACCCUUCUGAAUUUAUUUCGUCUGUGAAAUGGGGAAAAGAUAGCCACCUUGCAUAACUGGUGAAGAAUUCGUAAACUGACAGCAGAAUCUAGUAAGAGGACUGGCCCGUGGUCGGCUCUUAAUGGUGUCACAGAAUAAAGAAAAAGACUGGGAGAGAGAUGGGAGCUGAUAGACCAGAGGAGACCAAAGACUGAAACUGAAGACUAAACCAUGGAAAUUGGGAACAAGCACUUACUCGCUUAGAGGGUGAAAAAAGUGAAUUUGCCUACAGGGCCAAUUUGGAAGCACCUCUCCCUGGAAGCCAGUCAAUGAAGAGCCAUUGGAGGAUUUUAAAUAAGGAACCGAAAAAUGGAGUCUGAAAAUAGAGGCGCAGAGACCGGUUCUUCCCCAAACCAUCAUGGACCAGUUGGACUCUGAGAAGAAAAGUUUCUGAUCUUUAGUUCAUUCUUCCAACUCUCUAGAAAGCAGGAAAACUGAGAAUGAAAAAUUCUAAAUUACUCAGGACUCAUGGGUUGCCAAUAGAAGAAAUACAUCUUAAACUAGCUUAAGCCUGAAAGGGAAAUGUAUUUGUUCAUGUAACUGAACCAUAACGAAGGAUGGUGGACUGAGGGACCUGAAAACACCCUCAGGACUCCCUCCCUCUCCUUUGUGCUCCUGUCUGAUGCCGUCUUCCCAGACCUGCUCACUCUCCAUAAGGUGGGGAUGUGGCCAUCAGCAACGUGUACUUCCCCGAAGCUUGUGACCUGAGUAGAUAGGCAUCUCCCAACCCACAAGGAUUGAAAAGUUCCUCUAGGAAUUAUGUGGAUUGGCCCAUUCACUAUGACAUGUUCCCCCUAAGCAGCUAAAGGAACUGGGUCUGUUACCAGAAGAGGUGGGAGAGGGGUGCUAGGCAGAUUGAACAACAGCCACUACAACAUCUGAGGAGGAGACCUCCGUGAAGGCCACCAAGUCUGCUAGCAGAUAUUUCCUCCCUCGGAUCUCUCUCCCUGUCCUCACAGUCUCAUAAGUGAGGAUUAAAUACUACAUGUGGCCUAGGAGAUCUUAGACCCUCCACACGAAGAUAUAGUAACAAUCAACAUCCUAGUGUUCUGGCAGAGAAAAAAUCAGAAAGAAUCGUUUGCCUGAUUUUUCCAUCAAUACCAAUAAUUAAUUAGAGAUGAAAUUUGUGAUGGACUCAGAGAAUUAGAGAAGAUCUAAGGGAAUCUAGAUGAUUUCCUACCCCUAACCAGAGCCUCACAAAAAAGGGUGAAGAUCUAUGGCCGUCUUGCGUUUGGUGUGAGGCUGGACAAGGAAGUUCCUAAGGUCCUUUAGACUCUGUGAGAUCAUGAGUCCGUAAAACCCUUCCAACUUGAAAUUAGUUGAUUCCUUCCUUAAAUUUUCUGGGACAUUCCCCCACUCCCUCCACUCUUAUUAGCUGAUUUUACUGACCAAUAGGCCUUGAAGUUGGGCGUUCCAUCUAGAUGUCUCACAUCAACUCACCUUUUGCAAAUUAAGCCCAUACCCUUAAAGAGGGGAAUUCUCAAGCCAUUAGAAACUAGAGAGUCAGCUGGGCAUGGUGGCUCACGCCUGUAAUCCCAGAACUUUGGGAGGCCAAGGUGGGUGGAUCACUUGAGGUCAGGAGUUCGAGUCCAGCCUGACCAACAUGGCGAAACCCCGUCUCUACUAAAAAUACAAAAAUUAGCCAGGGGUGAUGGCAUGCACCUGUAAUCCCAGCUACUCAGGAGGCUGAGGCAGGAGAAUUGCUUGAACCUGGGAGGCGGAGGUUGCAGUGAGCCAAGUUUGCACCACAGCACUCCAGCCUGGGCAACAGAGUGAGACUCAGUUUCAAAAAACAAAAGAACAAACAAACAAAAACUAGAGGGUCUCCUCUUAGUUCUUAAACCCUCUUAGUCAACAUUUGUGAGCCUCUUUUCUGUAUGUUUUGGCAUCUUUAUUCCUUUCCUUCGUGUCUUGACCAAAUUCACCAGAUCAUGACUCAGAACAAAAUCCUGAGGUUGAAUAUAGAGGUCUAGAACAUCUUCAAAUUAACUGUUUCUCCUCAUAGAGAAUUAAAGAAAUUGAGAAAGCAAGAG
Molecule: long non-coding RNA, 3244 nt
Filed under: Homo sapiens (human)
Lineage: Eukaryota; Metazoa; Chordata; Mammalia; Primates; Hominidae
Description: HSALNT0200846
Source: RNAcentral